GAUAAGGUGGCUGAAGUUUAAGGCGAUAAAUUGUAAAUUUAUUUAUGGUGGUUACACCUCUUAUCA
RNAcentral lists this transfer RNA (66 nucleotides) under Poecilocoris druraei. RNAcentral's name for it is "tRNA-Tyr". It matches the Rfam family "tRNA". Rfam says of the family: Transfer RNA (tRNA) molecules are approximately 80 nucleotides in length. Their secondary structure includes four short double-helical elements and three loops (D, anti-codon, and T loops). Lineage: Eukaryota; Metazoa; Arthropoda; Insecta; Hemiptera; Scutelleridae. The record is from RNAcentral.